GGAUGCGAUAAUACCAGCACUAAAGCACCGGAUCCCAUCAGAACUCCGAAGUUAAGCGUGCUUGGGCGAGAGUAGUACUAGGAUGGGUGACCUCCUGGGAGGUCCUCGUGUUGCAUUCC
Molecule: ribosomal RNA, 119 nt
Filed under: Aegilops tauschii subsp. strangulata
Lineage: Eukaryota; Viridiplantae; Streptophyta; Magnoliopsida; Poales; Poaceae
Source: RNAcentral